Non-coding RNA from Carassius auratus (goldfish), 389 nucleotides. NCBI's taxonomy places the organism in Eukaryota, Metazoa, Chordata, Actinopteri, Cypriniformes, Cyprinidae. The record is from the annotation of a RefSeq genome assembly.
UCAUCAACAUGACCUUCAUCAUCAUCUUCAUCUGGACUCUCACAGCGUUUGCUCAAGAGAGUAGAGGACAGAUCAGCGUCACUCAGAGUCCCUCAACAGCAGCUCAACCAGGAGAAACAGUGAAGAUCAGCUGUAAAACCAGCACUGAUGUGUACAGAUGGAGUGAUGGGACUGAAGGUUUAGCCUGGUACUUACAGAAACCUGGACAAGCUCCUAAACUCCUGAUUUAUAAUGUAAAAAAUCUUCAGUCAGGAACUCCAUCUAGAUUCAGUGGCAGUGGAUCUAACAGUGAUUUCACUCUGACCAUCAGUGGAGUCCAGACUGAAGAUGCUGGACAUUAUUACUGUCAGAGUUACCACUUCAUCAGUCAAAAUGUGUUCACACAGUGA